AUUGAACGCUGGCGGCAGGCCUAACACAUGCAAGUCGAGCGGAUGAAGGGAGCUUGCUCCUGGAUUCAGCGGCGGACGGGUGAGUAAUGCCUAGGAAUCUGCCUGGUAGUGGGGGAUAACGUCCGGAAACGGGCGCUAAUACCGCAUACGUCCUGAGGGAGAAAGUGGGGGAUCUUCGGACCUCACGCUAUCAGAUGAGCCUAGGUCGGAUUAGAUAGUUGGUGGGGUAAAGGCCUACCAAGGCGACGAUCCGUAACUGGUCCGAGAGGAUGAUCAGUCACACGGGAACUGAGACACGGUCCAGACUACUAAGGGAGGCAGCAGUGGGGAAUAUUGGACAAUGGGCGAAAGCCUGAUCCAGCCAUGCCGCGUGUGUGAAGAAGGUCUUCGGAUUGUAAAGAACUUUAAGUUGGGAGGAAGGGCAGUAAGUUAAUACCUUGCUGUUUUGACGUUAACAACAGAAUAAGCACCGGCUAACUUCGUG
RNAcentral lists this ribosomal RNA (484 nucleotides) under uncultured bacterium. RNAcentral describes it as "partial 16S ribosomal RNA". It matches the Rfam family "Bacterial small subunit ribosomal RNA", at positions 30 to 507 of the family's 1533-position model. The record is from RNAcentral.